CCUACGGGAGGCAGCAGUGAGGAAUAUUGGUCAAUGGACGAGAGUCUGAACCAGCCAAGUAGCGUGAAGGAUGACUGCCCUAUGGGUUGUAAACUUCUUUUAUAUGGGAAUAAAAUGUUCCACGUGUGGGAUUUUGUAUGUACCAUAUGAGUAAGGAUCGGCUAACUCCGUGCCAGCAGCCGCGGUAAUACGGAGGAUCCGAGCGUUAUCCGGUUUUAUUGGGUUUAAGGGGAGCGUAGGUGGAUUGUUAAGUCAGUUGUGAAAGUUUGCGGCUCAACCGUAAAAUUGCAGUUGAAACUGGCAGUCUUGAGUACAGUAGAGGUGGGCGGAAUUCGUGGUGUAGCGGUGAAAUGCUUAGAUAUCACGAAGAACUCCGAUUGCGAAGGCAGUUCACUGGACUGCAACUGACACUGAGGCUCGAAAGUGUGGGUAUCAAACAGGAUUAGAUACCCGAGUAGUC
This 460-nucleotide ribosomal RNA is filed under the name uncultured bacterium. Its description in RNAcentral is "partial 16S ribosomal RNA". It matches the Rfam family "Bacterial small subunit ribosomal RNA", at positions 338 to 795 of the family's 1533-position model. The record is from RNAcentral.